RNAcentral lists this ribosomal RNA (253 nucleotides) under uncultured bacterium. RNAcentral's name for it is "partial 16S ribosomal RNA". It matches the Rfam family "Bacterial small subunit ribosomal RNA", at positions 524 to 776 of the family's 1533-position model. The record is from RNAcentral.
GACAGAGGGUGCAAACGUUGCUCGGAAUCACUGGGCGUAAAGGGCGUGUAGGCGGGAGAGAAAGUCGGGCGUGAAAUCCCUAGGCUCAACCUAGGAACUGCACUCGAAACUUCUUUUCUUGAGUGCCGGAGAGGAAAGCGGAAUACCUGGUGUAGAGGUGAAAUUCGUAGAUAUCAGGUGGAACACCAGUGGCGAAGGCGGCCAUCUGGACGGAUACUGACGCUGAGACGCGAAAGCGUGGGUAGCAAACAGG